This is a long non-coding RNA of Cydia pomonella (codling moth), 886 nucleotides long. RefSeq lists it as uncharacterized. The record is from RefSeq and is a predicted model, not a curated record. NCBI's taxonomy places the organism in Eukaryota, Metazoa, Arthropoda, Insecta, Lepidoptera, Tortricidae. The transcript has 2 exons.
GGGACCGUGCGCGUUGGAGGGUCUGCCAUCUUGUGGCCUGAAUCGGAACAAUAAACAUUUACAUUUACACGUCACGUGUUUUCUUGUGCAUAGAAGAUUCUGCCAUCUUGUGGGCUACAUCAGAACAAUAAACAUCACAGUUACGCCUCGCGCCAAAAAUCUGACGGCUCCUGUGCUGCCUCCUACAUUUCAUGCACGCUCCCUAUAAUCACUACGUUCUAGCCAACAGUGAAAAGUUGGUGGAAAAUAUACGCUGUCGAAACAAGGAGUCUUUUCUACGAUUGGCUGGUUAGAGAUGUGCUAGAAUCUAUGAAUUCAAAUAUCAUAUGUCCACACGUCAUGUUGACAUCCUUCAUAAAAAAAAUCAAAAGAAAUUAAAACCCACAAUGACUUUGUAAAAUCCAAAAAAAUGUUAUUAUUUAUAUAACCUGAACCGUUAAUAAAAAAAUACAAUGCUCGACUUCAAAUACCAUGUGUUUAUGUAGCUGCUUUCCAAACUGCUGUCUAUACCGAAUAAAAAUCAUCAACAAAUUCCUGGGACCUGUGUGAACUGUGUGAGCCCGGCCUGCAUGGCGACCAGACUUCAAUAAUGGGGGAAAAUAAAGAAACGUCCAUCGCGAAGAACGUACUAGAUGUCUGCAAAGGAACUUACGAUUUCCUAAGAAGGGUGGUGCAUAGCAUGUGCAUGUGCGCUUGCUUGCCAGGCCUCAAGUGCCUGUUCCGCUUCGAGGUAAAAGGCGACUCCCGUGAUCAUCACACGCCCUGCUGAUACCGCAACAAAAAGAUGCAGAUAACUUAUCGUUUUCAAAAACAUGUACGUAACUUAAUGUCUACUACUGUCUUGAAUUGUGUACUUAAGUAAAUAUAACAAAGUCAUUGUGAUAAA